RNAcentral lists this ribosomal RNA (457 nucleotides) under uncultured bacterium. RNAcentral's name for it is "partial 16S ribosomal RNA". It matches the Rfam family "Bacterial small subunit ribosomal RNA", at positions 338 to 795 of the family's 1533-position model. The record is from RNAcentral.
CCUACGUGAGACAGCAGUGGGGAAUAUUGCACAAUGGGCGCAAGCCUGAUGCAGCGACGCCGCGUGCGGGAUGGAGGCCUUCGGGUUGUAAACCGCUUUUGUUCAAGGGCAAGGCACGGUCUCUGGCCGUGUUGAGUGGAUUGUUCGAAUAAGCACCGGCUAACUACGUGCCAGCAGCCGCGGUAAUCGGUAGGGUGCAAGCGUUAUCCGGAUGUAUUGGGGGAAAGGGUUCGUAGGCGGUUCGUCCGGUUCGGUGGGAAAGUCCAGCGCUUAACGGUGGAUCCGCGGCGGGUACGGGCGGGCUUGAGUGCGGUAGGGGAGACUGGAAUUCCCGGUGUAACGGUGGAAUGUGUAGAUAUCGGGAAGAACACCAAUGGCGAAGGCAGGUCUCUGGGCCGUUACUGACGCUGAGGAGCGAAAGCGUGGGGAGCGAACAGGAUUAGAUACCCUAGUAGUC